AGGAAUCUGCCUGGUAGUGGGGGAUAACGUCCGGAAACGGGCGCUAAUACCGCAUACGUCCUGAGGGAGAAAGUGGGGGAUCUUCGGACCUCACGCUAUCAGAUGAGCCUAGGUCGGAUUAGCUAGUUGGUGGGGUAAAGGCCUACCAAGGCGACGAUCCGUAACUGGUCUGAGAGGAUGAUCAGUCACACUGGAACUGAGACACGGUCCAGACUCCUACGGGAGGCAGCAGUGGGGAAUAUUGGACAAUGGGCGAAAGCCUGAUCCAGCCAUGCCGCGUGUGUGAAGAAGGUCUUCGGAUUGUAAAGCACUUUAAGUUGGGAGGAAGGGCAGUAAGUUAAUACCUUGCUGUUUUGACGUUACCAACAGAAUAAGCACCGGCUAACUUCGUGCCAGCAGCCGCGGUAAUACGGAGGGUGCAAGCGUUAAUCGGAAUUACUGGGCGUA
Molecule: ribosomal RNA, 447 nt
Filed under: Pseudomonas aeruginosa
Lineage: Bacteria; Pseudomonadati; Pseudomonadota; Gammaproteobacteria; Pseudomonadales; Pseudomonadaceae
Description: bacterial SSU rRNA
Rfam family: Bacterial small subunit ribosomal RNA
Source: RNAcentral